Molecule: non-coding RNA, 988 nt
Organism: Phalacrocorax carbo (great cormorant)
Lineage: Eukaryota; Metazoa; Chordata; Aves; Suliformes; Phalacrocoracidae
Source: RefSeq, a predicted model, not a curated record
UAGUGUGAUAGAACACAUUCAGAGGUGGAGAGAAGGGAAAAAUACUAGCUCAGGAGGAAGACUAUAUUAAGGCUGAUCUCUUGCUAACAAACAGCUUUGGCUUUGCUUGUGCAUGAAUACGGAGUCCGUGUCCAGAAUCGCCACAAAUGGUGCCCCAUGUGAGGAGCGACAAAUCGACCGAAGAAGGUGAACCGGUGGCGAGCCCCACAGGACUGAAGUGCUGCUGAAAGGAAGCAAGAGCCGGCUGGAAUCCCUCAUCGAGUGAGCUCCCCCAAUGAGCCGACACUAUCUCUCUCUGCAAACAGACCGGCAGAGCACUGAAGGAAAGGCGCAGGUCCUUGUAUGAAAUUUAGAAUCCGGGAUAACGGAGGGUCCCUUCGCCCUAAUAACAUGGGGGAGAGGUUACGCUUGCGUCUCCACAGGGUCAGGACAUCGCUGGAUCCCAGCCCAUUGUGUUCGGCCGUAUCGGUAUCAACCCUCAACAGAAAAUUCCGUAUCGGAAGAACCAAACCCUACUGAAGGAAAAUGAAGAUGCUCUGUUUGUUGAUUGUAUUUAUAAUCUGUUCAUGUAACUGGGUAUGUUCUUGGCCAGGUGUGCCAGUUUUGGCUGAGAAGGGGUUAAUUCUCCUCACUGUGGGGGGUCGGCUACCUUUCCAGCUUCCCGAGCUCUGCCACUUCGGCAGGAGGCUGGGAGGGGCAGGGCCAUGGUUGGGGUGGCUGACCCCGACUGGCCAAUGGCAGGUUCAUUCCAUACCAUGUGACACCAUGACCAAUAUAUUGAGGGGGGGCAGUUUGCGGCUCGGGGAGGCGCGGUGUUGGUUCGGCGGGCGGUGAGCGGCUGCGUCGUGUGCGGUUUGUUUCGGCGGUUCAUUCCCCUCCCCCCUCCCUUCCCCCUCCCCCGGGUUUCGCGCCUCUCAUUGUUCUCCUUUCCAUUGCAUUUCUGUUGUUGUUUCUUUUAAUUAUAAUUAUUAAACUGUUCUUAUCUCAA